CUACAGUUUUACACUAUUCAAUUCAUAUCCAACAUUUAACUAUUCGUUUUAUUUAAAAAAAAAUUAUGAUUAAUAUUUUUUAUUAGAUAAAAAAGCAUGAAUAAUAUUUUAUGUGUGACUGAUUUUUUUUAAUUUUAUCAUACUUUUUUUAAAUAAGACGGAUAGUGAAACGUUGGACACAGAUACUCACGACUGCACUUAUU
This is a microRNA precursor of Oryza rufipogon (brownbeard rice), 203 nucleotides long. It matches the Rfam family "MIR812 microRNA precursor family". The record is from Rfam. NCBI's taxonomy places the organism in Eukaryota, Viridiplantae, Streptophyta, Magnoliopsida, Poales, Poaceae.